RNAcentral lists this long non-coding RNA (405 nucleotides) under Marmota monax (woodchuck). The record is from RNAcentral. Lineage: Eukaryota; Metazoa; Chordata; Mammalia; Rodentia; Sciuridae.
GGCCCCCCCGCCCAGUGGCCCCUCUGCCCUCGGCUCCUGGGGACUUCCCAACGGCAGGCCAGGCGCCACCAGCGGCCAUCCACGUCCCACAGCUGAGGAACCCGAGGCACCGGGCAGGGGACACCCAGCCGGGACUGCGGACCGCAGGGAGCUCACCCCGAGCCCGACACCUUUACCAGCCCGCGGUGCCGGAGCCUGGCCCUGGGCACCGAGGGCACAUGGGGAACCUGCCCAGCGUCCCUUCAGAUGACAAGACUUCCAAACGUUUUAGAAAUGCCGGGGCCUGGCCACCUGUGGCCACCCCUGGAACUCCAGCAACUCCAGGGGCUGAGGCGCUCAAGUUGGAGGCCACCUCAGCAACUUCGUGACACCAUGUCUCCAGAAAAAACAAGAUCAAAAGGUCUG